RNAcentral lists this long non-coding RNA (597 nucleotides) under Homo sapiens (human). Its description in RNAcentral is "HSALNT0291027". Lineage: Eukaryota; Metazoa; Chordata; Mammalia; Primates; Hominidae. The record is from RNAcentral.
CUUUUUGGAGACAGAUUCGCAGUGGUCGCUUCUUCUCCUUGGAUUUGUUAAGGAUUCCAAGUAACUCUUAUUUGGAGAGAAGACGAUCUGCACUUCGCAUUUUGGCAUUGACAUUUAAUUUUAGGGUCCUUUAUAUAGAAGGGAGAGUAGGUAAACUGAUUUUUUUUUUUAACAGGGAGGGUUUGACAAUCUUUGGCAGACUUGGAGCAAAAGAUUGAGGUGCAUUUCAUGCCUCCUUUUGAGAGUCUUGCUCUGUCGCCCAGGCUGUAGUGCAGUGGCGCAAUCUUGGCUGCAACCUCAGCCUCCCAAGUAGCUGGGAUUACAAACAUAAGCCACCACGCCCAGCCCUCAUACCUCUUUUAAAAGUCGACCUGUUUUGCAGAAAGUCUGCUGUUUUUGUACUAAAGGCUUUGGAAUUUGGCAUUUAGCUAGGAAUGCACAUUCUUUCACCUCAUUCAUACUUUAAGAACCACAGAAGUGACUCUGCUUGGCCAGAAGGCACACUGUGUUGGUGGUUAUAUUAAAAGUCCUUGAGUAUUUUGCUUUUCAUGAUCUUGCUCACUGCAACUUCCGCCUCCCAGGAGAAUUGCUUGAACC